CCUACGGGGGGCUGCAGUAGGGAAUAUUGCGCAAUGGGCGAAAGCCUGACGCAGCGACGCCGCGUGGGUGAUGAAGGCCUUCGGGUUGUAAAACCCUGUCCUUGGGGAAGAAGGAAGUGACGGUACCCAAGGAGGAAGCCCCGGCUAACUACGUGCCAGCAGCCGCGGUAAAACGUAGGGGGCGAGCGUUACCCGGAAUUACUGGGCGUAAAGGGUGCGUAGGCGGCCUUGCAAGUCCGGUGUUAAAAGCCCUGGCUCAACUAGGGAGAUGCGCUGGAAACUGUAAGGCUUGGGUGCAGCAGAGGCAGAUGGAACUGCUGGUGUAGGGGUGAAAUCCGUAGAUAUCAGCAGGAACGCCGGUGGAGAAGUCGGUCUGCUGGGCUGUGACCGACGCUGAGGCACGAAAGCUAGGGGAGCGAACCGGAUUAGAUACCCGUGU
This 439-nucleotide ribosomal RNA is filed under the name uncultured Thermotogae bacterium. RNAcentral describes it as "bacterial SSU rRNA". It matches the Rfam family "Bacterial small subunit ribosomal RNA", at positions 338 to 791 of the family's 1533-position model. Lineage: Bacteria; Thermotogati; Thermotogota; Thermotogae. The record is from RNAcentral.